Molecule: unclassified non-coding RNA, 344 nt
Filed under: soil metagenome
Description: partial contains 5.8S ribosomal RNA, internal transcribed spacer 2, and large subunit ribosomal RNA
Rfam family: 5.8S ribosomal RNA (bases 1-120)
Source: RNAcentral
GAUGAAGAACGCAGCGAAAUGCGAUACGUAAUGUGAAUUGCAGAAUUCAGUGAAUCAUCGAGUCUUUGAACGCACAUUGCGCCCCCUGGUAUUCCGGGGGGCAUGCCUGUCCGAGCGUCAUUGCUGCCCUCAAGCACGGCUUGUGUGUUGGGCCUCCGUCCUCCCCCGGGGGACGGGCCCGAAAGGCAGCGGCGGCACCGCGUCCGGUCCUCGAGCAUAUGGGGCUUCGUCACCCGCUCUUGUAGGCCCGGCCGGCGCUUGCCGACACAUCAAUCUUUUUUCCAGGUUGACCUCGGAUCAGGUAGGGAUACCCGCUGAACUUAAGCAUAUCAAUAAGCGGAGGA